UUAUCAUCUGAAAAAAAUAAAUAAAGAUUAGAGGGUUCAUUUUUUACAAUCAAGACUAGGGCUUUAAGUUUAUAGGCCUUUGUAAAGUGAAGUAGCUCUCUCCCGCGGAGCUCAACCAUGGCAGACAGCAACGAGAAUCAGCAAGGCAAAGGCAAAGAGCAAGAGCAAGAGCAAGAGCAAUAUGGUGUCCUGCUUUACUACAAAUACACAGAAAUCCCUGAUCUCAACUCCCUCCUCUCCUUCUACAAUUCCAACUGCACUUCCCUCUCCCUCCUUGGCCGUGUCCGCCUCUCUCUCCAUGGAGUCAAUGUCACUGUUGGUGGCAAGUUGUCUUCAUUGGAGAAGCAUAUUGAAGCUGUGAAAGCUAUUAGUUUAUUUGAAGGGACUGAUUUCAAGCUUGCUUCUUGUCAUUUUCCAUUGAAUGACAAGGUUGCUCAUGAAUGUGGCUUCACUUCUCUUUCCAUUCGCAUUGUCAAGGAAUUGGUUACUUUUAGCCCUUAUCCUCUUGUUAAAGCACCGGAUGUUUCAAAUGCUGGUAGGCAUUUGUCCGCUGUGGAGUUCCAUUCUGCUCUUCAAAGUGCUGGGAAGCUUGUAGAUAAAGAAAGUCUAGCUGAUGAUAAAGGUCUUGUUUUAUUAGAUGCAAGGAAUCUGUAUGAGACGAGAAUUGGGAAGUUUGACAUGCCAAAUGUGGACACUUUAGAUCCUGGAAUCAGACAGUAUAGUGAUCUGCCAUCCUGGAUAGAUGAUAAUUCUGAACAAUUGCGAGGAAAGAAUGUCCUGAUGUAUUGUACUGGAGGAAUCAGGUGUGAGAUGGCAUCGGCCUAUAUUAGGUCAAAAGGUGCUGGAUUUGAGAAUGUGUUUCAGUUGUUUGGUGGAAUACAGCGUUAUUUAGAACAAUUUCCAGAUGGUGGUUUUUUCAAAGGAAAGAAUUUUGUUUUUGAUCACAGGAUUUCUGUUGGGAGCUCAGAUACAAAUAUCUUGGGAACCUGCCUUCUCUGUGGCUUAUCCUUUGAUGAUUACUCUUCACGAUGUAGAUGCUCAUAUUGUAGAAUGCUAGUAUUGGUCUGUGAUAGCUGCCGGAAGGAGGAAGCUGUUUAUGCUUGCGAGCUGUGCCAAAAACAUGGAAAGGUAAUUGAGUCAAAUGUUGCUGAAAAUGGUGAACAGCAAGAUAUAUUGCCUCAAGUUGAGCUCAAAACCAUUUCCUCAGAUACUAUCCUCUCGCCUCAACUUCAUGGGGAACAGGGUGCUAGGCCUCCAAGAAAGCUAAGAAUCUUGUGCUUGCAUGGGUUUCGGCAGAAUGCAUCUGGUUUUAAAGGAAGAACUGCAUCAUUAGCCAAGAAACUUAAAAACAUUGCUGAGCUUGUCUUUGUUGAUGCACCUCAUGAGUUGCCUUUCAUAUACCAGUCAUGUGUCUCGGAACUAGAGUGCAGUGAUGAAUCAUCAUUUUCAUCACAACAAAUUCUCCCCCCAACAGAAACUUGCAGGGGAAAGUUUGCCUGGUUGAUAGCACCUGAUUCCAAAGGAAGCAGUGCAACUGAUUGGAAAAAGGCAGAUAGUCCAUUUGAUCCCCUCCAGUACCUGCAGCAAACUGAAGGGUUUGAUGUAUCAUUAUCGUAUUUAAAGACAGUAUUCUCUCGGGAUGGGCCAUUUGACGGGAUCCUGGGAUUUUCACAAGGAGCAGCGAUGGCUGCUUUACUUUGUGCACAAAAAGGGAGGCUAAAAGGUGACAUUGAUUUCAGAUUUGCAAUUUUGUGUUCUGGGUUCGCUCUUCCAUUUGUGGAGAUUGAGAGUGGAUCGAUUAACUGCCCCUCUCUCCAUGUAUUCGGUUGUGUUCCAGGCAAGGACAGGCAGAUUGCAAACAAAACAAGCAGAGAACUUGCUUCAUUAUUUGAAGAUGGUUGCUCAGUUAUUAUUGAGCAUGAUUUUGGUCACAUCAUUCCUACUCGGACACCAUACAUUGAUGAAAUCAAAGGUUUCCUUCAACGCUUUCUGUAAUACGAUUAAAAAUCCUUUGUUAACCAAUAUUGUUACUUUAAGAUGGCUUCUCAGCUAUAUUACCUGAUCCGUAUUUGCUUAUUACUCAUUACACCAUUUUUCUUCAAUCACUUGCUAAUACAAUUCAAUUCCA
This is an RNA transcript of Populus trichocarpa (black cottonwood), 2128 nucleotides long. It is a transcript of the gene named rhodanese-like domain-containing protein 6, with no coding region annotated. The transcript has 10 exons. The record is from RefSeq and is a predicted model, not a curated record. Lineage: Eukaryota; Viridiplantae; Streptophyta; Magnoliopsida; Malpighiales; Salicaceae.